AUUGAACGCUGGCGGCAUGCUUUACACAUGCAAGUCGAACGGCAGCACGGGUGCUUGCACCUGGUGGCGAGUGGCGGACGGGUGAGUAAUACAUCGGAACGUGUCCAGAAGAGGGGGAUAACGCAUCGAAAGAUGUGCUAAUACCGCAUAUGCUCUGAGGAGGAAAGUAGGGGAUCGAAAGACCUUACGCUUUUGGAGCGGCCGAUGUCUGAUUAGCUAGUUGUGGGGUAAGGGCCUACCAAGGCGACGAUCAGUAGUUGGUCUGAGAGGACGACCAGCCACACUGGGACUGAGACACGGCCCAGACUCCUACGGGAGGCAGCAGUGGGGAAUUUUGGACAAUGGGCGCAAGCCUGAUCCAGCAAUGCCGCGUGAGUGAAGAAGGCCUUCGGGUUGUAAAGCUCUUUCAGUCGAGAAGAAAAGGCUGCAGUGAAUAACUGUAGUUUAUGACGGUAUCGACAGAAGAAGCACCGGCUAACUACGUG
This 485-nucleotide ribosomal RNA is filed under the name uncultured bacterium. RNAcentral describes it as "bacterial SSU rRNA". It matches the Rfam family "Bacterial small subunit ribosomal RNA", at positions 30 to 507 of the family's 1533-position model. The record is from RNAcentral.